GACGAACGCUGGCGGCGUGCUUAACACAUGCAAGUCGAACGGAAAGGCCCUGCUUUUGUGGGGUGCUCGAGUGGCGAACGGGUGAGUAACACGUGAGUAACCUGCCCUUGACUGUGGGAUAACUUCAGGAAACUGGGGCUAAUACCGGAUAGGAGCUCCUGCUGCAGGGUGGGGGUUGGAAGGUUUCGGCGGUUGUGGAUGGACUCGCGGCUUAUCAGCUUGUUGGUGGGGUAGUGGCUUACCAAGGCUUUGACGGGUAGCCGGCCUGAGAGGGUGACCGGCCACAUUGGGACUGAGAUACGGCCCAGACUCCUACGGGAGGCAGCAGUGGGGAAUAUUGCACAAUGGGCGGAAGCCUGAUGCAGCAGCGCCGCGUGCGGGAUGACGGCCUUCGGGUUGUAAACCGCUUUCGCCUGUGACGAAGCGUGAGUGACGGUAAUGGGUAAAGAAGCACCGGCUAACUACGUG
This 468-nucleotide ribosomal RNA is filed under the name uncultured bacterium. RNAcentral's name for it is "partial 16S ribosomal RNA". It matches the Rfam family "Bacterial small subunit ribosomal RNA", at positions 28 to 507 of the family's 1533-position model. The record is from RNAcentral.